GCUGGCGGCGCGCUUAACGCAUGCAAGUCGAGCGAGAACUAGGUCUUCGGACCUAGGGAAAGCGGCGAACGGGUGCGUAACACGUGGGUAACCUGCCCUCGACAUCGGGAUAGCCCGGGGAAACCCGGAUUAAUACCGGAUAGCCUCCGAAGCCUUCGGGCGUCGGAGAAAAGGUAGCUUCGGCCUCCGGUCGAGGAGGGGCCCGCGGCGGAUUAGCUUGUUGGUGGGGUAAUAGCCCACCAAGGCGACGAUCCGUAGCUGGUCUGAGAGGACGAUCAGCCACACUGGGACUGAGACACGGCCCAGACUCCUACGGGAGGCAGCAGCGGGGAAUAUUGCGCAAUGGGCGAAAGCCUGACGCAGCGACGCCGCGUGGGGGAAGAAGGCCUUCGGGUUGUAAACCUCUUUCAGGAGGGACGAAGCUACUCGGGUUAAUAGCCCAGAGGGUGACGGUACCUCCA
This 461-nucleotide ribosomal RNA is filed under the name uncultured soil bacterium. Its description in RNAcentral is "bacterial SSU rRNA". It matches the Rfam family "Bacterial small subunit ribosomal RNA", at positions 35 to 483 of the family's 1533-position model. The record is from RNAcentral.